Molecule: ribosomal RNA, 592 nt
Filed under: Cenozosia inanis
Lineage: Eukaryota; Fungi; Ascomycota; Lecanoromycetes; Lecanorales; Ramalinaceae
Description: LSU rRNA
Rfam family: Eukaryotic large subunit ribosomal RNA
Source: RNAcentral
AAUAAGCGGAGGAAAAGAAACCAACAGGGAUUGCCUCAGUAACGGCGAGUGAAGCGGCAACAGCUCAAAUUUGAAAUCUGGCUCCGUGCGGGGUCCGAGUUGUAAUUUGCAGAGGAUGCUUCGGGUGCGGCACCGGUCUAAGUCCCUUGGAACAGGGCGUCAUAGAGGGUGAGGAUCCCGUAUGUGACCGGCGACCAAGCCCAUGUGAAGCUCCUUCGACGAGUCGAGUUGUUUGGGAAUGCAGCUCAAAAUGGGUGGUAAAUUUCAUCUAAAGCUAAAUACCGGCCAGAGACCGAUAGCGCACAAGUAGAGUGAUCGAAAGAUGAAAAGCACUUUGGAAAGAGAGUCAAAAAGUACGUGAAAUUGUUGAAAGGGAAGCGCUUGUAACCAGACCUGCCGUCGGGUGCUCAGCGGGCAGUCAUGCCCGCCUAUUCAUCCGCGAUCAGGCCAGCAUCGGUUUUGGCGGCCGGAUAAAGGCUCGAGGAAUGUAGCUCCGCUUCGGGGGAGUGUUAUAGCCUCGGGUGCAAUACGGCCAGUCGGGACCGAGGACCGCGCUUCGGCUAGGAUGCUGGCGUAAUGGUUGCAAGCGACC